Molecule: ribosomal RNA, 777 nt
Filed under: uncultured Neocallimastigales
Lineage: Eukaryota; Fungi; Neocallimastigomycota; Neocallimastigomycetes; Neocallimastigales
Description: partial large subunit ribosomal RNA
Rfam family: Eukaryotic large subunit ribosomal RNA
Source: RNAcentral
CGAGCACGCGCGUGUGGCAUAUCAAUAAGCGGAGGAAAAGAAACUAACAAGGAUUCCCUUAGUAACGGCGAGUGAAGCGGGAAGAGCUCAAAUUUGAAAUCUUCAAGGUUCUACCUUGACGAAUUGUAGUUUAUAGAAGUGUUUUCUGUUAGUAGAGUGGCAAAAGUUCUUUGGAAUAGGACAUCAUAGAGGGUGAGAAUCCCGUAUUUGGUCAUUCUCUUCCUAGCUUUGUGAUACACUUUCAACGAGUCGGAUUGUUUGGGAAUGCAGUCCAAAAUGGGUGGUAAAUUUCAUCUAAAGCUAAAUAGUUGGCGAGAGACCGAUAGCGAACAAGUACCGUGAGGGAAAGAUGAAAAGAACUUUGAAAAGAGAGUUAAACAGUACGUGAAAUUGUCAAAAGGGAAGCGUUUGACACCAGUGUUGUUUUUCCGAAAAUCAAUUAAGAAUGUUUUGUUUUUAAGAAGUUAUGACUUCAUCGGCUUGCUCCUUUCUUUAUGGAACUUUCUUAAUGCACUUUUCGGUUAACAAGUCAACAUCAAUUUCUUUUGUUGUAAAAGGGUAUGAGGAAGGUGGCUUUCUUUUCGGAGAAAGUGUUUAUAGCCUUGUGCCUCUGCAAUCGGAGAGAUUGAGGUCUGCAGCGUAGAUCCUUCGGGGUUAGAUACAUUUGUGCUAAGUUAUAGCUUUUAAUAGACAACUUGUUGACUAUGUUUAGUCUUGUAGCUUACUCGCUUAUGCUAUUUUACCUACGCUUAGGAUGUUGAGCGCAUGUCUCUCUCU